RNAcentral lists this long non-coding RNA (800 nucleotides) under Equus asinus (donkey). Its description in RNAcentral is "lncRNA (ENSEASG00005026600.1)". Lineage: Eukaryota; Metazoa; Chordata; Mammalia; Perissodactyla; Equidae. The record is from RNAcentral.
CAUUGCUUUGGUAUUGGGUCACCUGCUUGCAUUAAGGGACGUUGUGAGAAAUUGGUGCUUGUACAAAGGUUGUUACUGUCUCCUGAGCUCUUGCAAAGACAAAGUUUGCAACAACCAACGCUAUUGCUUCUGAGGACCUGGAGGAGAAAUUCUUCUCAGGUGUCAGCCAUAGAAGAGGCAGGCCACCUGCUAAAUGACUCACCUGCAUUUAUCUUACUGCUGGUGGGAAUUUUGUAGCUAACCCUGUUCCUCUCUUUGCUUUGUGAGCUGGAAGCUUGGGGCCAAGUUCGCGAGCCACCUCUGUCAGCAAUGAACUCUCCAGCUUCAUUUUUUUCCUACUUAAAAUUUUCAUUUUCCUGUUUCCCUCAACAACUUAGUCCAGCAUCUUGAAUUACUUGCAUUUUUGGAAGUUACAUCAAAUCCUUGGUGGACUGAGGCAAAAUAUAAAGGAAAUAUGGAGAAAACAGUUCCCUCUUUGGUUGGAUGCACUUGGUUGCCACCAGUUCCAGUGACAGCUUCAGGGCCCAUUCCAACUGCUUCUUACUAGUGAAACAUGGUAGGACUGCGCUUAGCUGCCCUCUGGAAAUCCAGUACGGCUGUGGGAUUGACUUUGGCCAAUGAAAUGUGAGCAGAAAUCACGCCCCUUCCAGAAAAAAGCCUUCAAAUGCCUGUGAGCCAUAGGUCCUUCUGCUGCCACUAUGACCAACAAUGUUACUGUUCCUAGUGUCUUUGUCAGCCUGUGUCCCACAGGGAAGGAAGUGUGCAGAAGAGCCCCAUGUACCCAUGAUGAACAUGAAGCA